AUGGCUGGCACCACCUCCGGCGCACUCGUCACCACCACCGCCGGCCCGCUCGUCUCCGGCCACACCGCUACCAUGCCGUCGCUCGCCGGCCUCAUCACCGUCCGGCUCACCCGCGCCAACUUCCUGCUAUGGAAGGCGCAGGUUGUCCCAAACCUCACCGGCGCCGGUCUGUUCGGCUACCUCGACGGCUCCGUUCCAGCGCCGCCGAAGACGAUCACCGAGGGCACCGGCGAUGCUGCGCGCUCCGUGCCCAACCCUGAGUACGAGCCAUGGAGGAGGACCGACCAGGCCGUGCUCGGCGCGCUCCUGUCCUCCAUGACGGAGGAAGUGCUUGCCCAGAUGACGCGAGCGACCCCCGCGGUGGCCGUUUGGACUGCCCUCGGUGCUAUGUUCGCUGCCCAGAAUCGGGCCAGUGUGCGCCAACUCCGUACGCAGUUGUCGCAGACGAAGAAGGACAUAUCAGCGGCAGAAUUCUUCUACAAGAUGACAGGCUAUGCCGACGCACUGGCCACCGUUGGCGAGGUACUGUCCGAUGACGAGAUCAUCGGGCACAUAAUCGGUGGGCUGGGUCAGGAAUAUGACCCCCUCAUGACUGCGCUCUCCAUCUUCACAGGAGAAGUAAGCCUCUCCGAUUUUUAUGCCUACCUUCUCAGCUUCGAGGCGCGUCAGGAGCAGCAUGCCGCGAACAGCGGCGACUUCUCUUCAUCAUCCAACAACGUCGUGCGCCACGGCAAUGGCUCCGGUUCCCGCGACGGCAACCGGAACAGCAAUGGUGGCCACGGUGGCCAUGGAAACAGGAGUGGUGGCAAUGGUGGCCGCUAUGGUUCCAAUGGCAACCGUGGCAACAACGGUGGCCGUCACAACGGCGGCGGCGGCAGGAACCGUCGUCCUCCAAGGUGCCAAAUAUGCCGCGAGGAGGGGCACUACGCCACCGAUUGUCGCGAUCGCUACAACGACCGCAGCGGCAACAUGGCUACAUACGGCCACCGCGACAACAAUUGGUACCUCGACACCGGUGCCACUGACCACCUCACCAGCGACCUUGACCGCUUGACGGUGCACGAGCGCUAUGGUGGAAAGGAUCAAGUUCAAGUUGCAAAUGGUGCAGGACAAAAUCACGAGGAGGGUCCUUCUUCUCGAUAG
Molecule: ribosomal RNA, 1143 nt
Filed under: Triticum aestivum (bread wheat)
Lineage: Eukaryota; Viridiplantae; Streptophyta; Magnoliopsida; Poales; Poaceae
Description: partial small subunit ribosomal RNA
Source: RNAcentral